This 215-nucleotide ribosomal RNA is filed under the name uncultured bacterium. RNAcentral describes it as "partial 16S ribosomal RNA". It matches the Rfam family "Bacterial small subunit ribosomal RNA", at positions 524 to 737 of the family's 1533-position model. The record is from RNAcentral.
UACGUAGGGUGCGAGCGUUGUCCGGAAUUAUUGGGCGUAAAGAGCUCGUAGGCGGUGUGUCGCGUCGGCCGUGAAAACCUGGGGCUCAACUCUGGGCGUGCGGUCGAUACGGGCAUCACUUGAGUUCGGCAGGGGAGACUGGAAUUCCUGGUGUAGCGGUGGAAUGCGCAGAUAUCCGGAGGAACACCGGUGGCGAAGGCGGGUCUCUGGGCCGU